AUUGAACGCUGGCGGCAUGCCUUACACAUGCAAGUCGAACGGCAGCACGGGUGCUUGCACCUGGUGGCGAGUGGCGAACGGGUGAGUAAUACAUCGGAACGUACCUUAUCGUGGGGGAUAACGCAGCGAAAGCUGUGCUAAUACCGCAUACGCCCUGAGGGGGAAAGCGGGGGAUCGCAAGACCUCGCGCGAUUAGAGCGGCCGAUGCCUGAUUAGCUUGUUGGUGGGGUAAAAGCCCACCAAGGCGACGAUCAGUAGCUGGUCUGAGAGGACGAUCAGCCACACGGGGGCUGAGACACGGCCCAGACUCCUACGGGAGGCAGUAGUGGGGAAUUUUGGACAAUGGGGGCAACCCUGAUCCAGCAAUGCCGCGUGAGUGAAGAAGGCCUUCGGGUUGUAAAGCUCUUUUGUCAGGGAAGAAACACCGGCUCUAACACAGUCCGGGAAUGACGGUACCUGAAGAAUAAGCACCGGCUAACUACGUGCCAGCAGCCGCCGUAA
Molecule: ribosomal RNA, 501 nt
Filed under: uncultured bacterium
Lineage: Bacteria
Description: partial 16S ribosomal RNA
Rfam family: Bacterial small subunit ribosomal RNA
Source: RNAcentral